GCUGGCCUAGCUCAGUUGGUAGAGCGCGAGACUUUAACACUCGAGGUCGUGGGUUCGAGCCCUACGGUCGGCC
Molecule: transfer RNA, 73 nt
Organism: Acanthamoeba castellanii str. Neff
Lineage: Eukaryota; Discosea; Longamoebia; Acanthamoebidae
Rfam family: tRNA
About the family: Transfer RNA (tRNA) molecules are approximately 80 nucleotides in length. Their secondary structure includes four short double-helical elements and three loops (D, anti-codon, and T loops). Further hydrogen bonds mediate the characteristic L-shaped molecular structure. tRNAs have two regions of fundamental functional importance: the anti-codon, which is responsible for specific mRNA codon recognition, and the 3' end, to which the tRNAs corresponding amino acid is attached (by aminoacyl-tRNA synthetases). tRNAs cope with the degeneracy of the genetic code in two manners: having more than one tRNA (with a specific anti-codon) for a particular amino acid; and 'wobble' base-pairing, i.e. permitting non-standard base-pairing at the 3rd anti-codon position.
Source: Rfam